AAGAGAAUGUUAUCACACGGCUGAAUGCAAAAAACAGGAUCGAAGCCAUCAAUGCUUUAGCCAUACCGGUCGUGACUUACAAUUUCAAUAUUAUUAACUGGUCAGUUACUGAAAUCUGUAAUAUUGAUCGAAAAAUACGAAAGUUGUUGACAAUGCAUAUAAUGCACCACUCUAAGGCAGAUAUAGAACGA
Molecule: long non-coding RNA, 191 nt
Organism: Octopus sinensis (East Asian common octopus)
Lineage: Eukaryota; Metazoa; Mollusca; Cephalopoda; Octopoda; Octopodidae
Exons: 3
Source: RefSeq, a predicted model, not a curated record